UACAGAGGUCUCAAGCGUUGUUCGGAUUCAUUGGGCGUAAAGGGUGCGUAGGUGGCGGGGUAAGUCUGGUGUGAAAUCUCGGGGCUCAACCCCGAAACUGCACUGGAUACUGCCUUGCUCGAGUACUGGAGAGGCGAGUGGAAUUCCUGGUGUAGCGGUGGAAUGCGCAGAUAUCAGGAGGAACACCAACGGCGAAGGCAGCUCGCUGGGACGGUACUGACACUGAGGCGCGAAAGCGUGGGGGAGCGAACAGG
This 254-nucleotide ribosomal RNA is filed under the name uncultured bacterium. RNAcentral describes it as "partial 16S ribosomal RNA". It matches the Rfam family "Bacterial small subunit ribosomal RNA", at positions 524 to 776 of the family's 1533-position model. The record is from RNAcentral.